CUACGGGUCGCUGCAGUGGGGAAUAUUGGACAAUGGGCGCAAGCCUGAUCCAGCAAUACCGCGUGUGUGAAGAAGGGUUUCGGCUCGUAAAGCACUUUCAGUUGGGAGGAAAGGUUGUCAGUUAAUACCUGAUAGCUGUGACGUUACCAACAGAAGAAGCACCGGCUAACUCCGUGCCAGCAGCCGCGGUAAUACGGAGUGUGCAAGCGUUAAUCGGAAUUACUGGGCGUAAAGCGCGCGUAGGCGGAAUAUUAAGUCUCAUGUGAAAGCCCUGGGCUCAACCUGGGAACUGCAUGGGAUACUGGUAUUCUAGAAUACAGUAGAGGGAGGUGGAAUUUCAGGUGUAGCGGUGAAAUGCGUAGAGAUCUGAAGGAACAUCAGUGGCGAAGGCGACCUCCUGGACUGAUAUUGACGCUGAGGUGCGAAAGCGUGGGGAGCAAACAGGAUUAGAUACCCGCGUAGUC
RNAcentral lists this ribosomal RNA (464 nucleotides) under uncultured bacterium. RNAcentral's name for it is "partial 16S ribosomal RNA". It matches the Rfam family "Bacterial small subunit ribosomal RNA", at positions 339 to 795 of the family's 1533-position model. The record is from RNAcentral.